RNAcentral lists this transfer RNA (72 nucleotides) under Phrynosoma platyrhinos (Desert horned lizard). RNAcentral's name for it is "tRNA-OTHER". The record is from RNAcentral. Lineage: Eukaryota; Metazoa; Chordata; Lepidosauria; Squamata; Phrynosomatidae.
GGCAGCAUGGUAUAGUGGUUUGAGUGUUAGACUUUGACUCUGGAGACCAGGGUUCGGAUCCUGGCUCAGCCA